AACGAACGCUGGCGGCAUGCCUAACACAUGCAAGUCGAACGAGACCUUCGGGUCUAGUGGCGCACGGGUGCGUAACGCGUGGGAAUCUGCCCUUCGGUUCGGAACAACAGUUAGAAAUGACUGCUAAUACCGGAUAAUGACGUAAGUCCAAAGAUUUAUCGCCGAAGGAUGAGCCCGCGUAAGAUUAGGUAGUUGGUGGGGUAAUGGCCUACCAAGCCGACGAUCUUUAGCUGGUCUGAGAGGAUGAUCAGCCACACUGGGACUGAGACACGGCCCAGACUCCUACGGGAGGCAGCAGUGGGGAAUAUUGGACAAUGGGCGAAAGCCUGAUCCAGCAAUGCCGCGUGAGUGAUGAAGGCCUUAGGGUUGUAAAGCUCUUUUACCUAGGGAUGAUAAUGACAGUACCUGGAGAAUAAGCUCCGGCUAACUCCGUGCCAGCAGCCGC
Molecule: ribosomal RNA, 445 nt
Filed under: uncultured bacterium
Lineage: Bacteria
Description: bacterial SSU rRNA
Rfam family: Bacterial small subunit ribosomal RNA
Source: RNAcentral